RNAcentral lists this ribosomal RNA (1021 nucleotides) under Mycobacterium asiaticum. RNAcentral's name for it is "bacterial SSU rRNA". It matches the Rfam family "Bacterial small subunit ribosomal RNA", at positions 365 to 1384 of the family's 1533-position model. The record is from RNAcentral. Lineage: Bacteria; Bacillati; Actinomycetota; Actinomycetes; Mycobacteriales; Mycobacteriaceae.
UGCACAAUGGGCGAAAGCCUGAUGCAGCGACGCCGCGUGGGGGAUGACGGCCUUCGGGUUGUAAACCUCUUUCACCAUCGACGAAGGUCCGGGUUUUCUCGGGCUGACGGUAGGUGGAGAAGAAGCACCGGCCAACUACGUGCCAGCAGCCGCGGUAAUACGUAGGGUGCGAGCGUUGUCCGGAAUUACUGGGCGUAAAGAGCUCGUAGGUGGUUUGUCGCGUUGUUCGUGAAAUCUCACGGCUUAACUGUGAGCGUGCGGGCGAUACGGGCAGACUGGAGUACUGCAGGGGAGACUGGAAUUCCUGGUGUAGCGGUGGAAUGCGCAGAUAUCAGGAGGAACACCGGUGGCGAAGGCGGGUCUCUGGGCAGUAACUGACGCUGAGGAGCGAAAGCGUGGGGAGCGAACAGGAUUAGAUACCCUGGUAGUCCACGCCGUAAACGGUGGGUACUAGGUGUGGGUUUCCUUCCUUGGGAUCCGUGCCGUAGCUAACGCAUUAAGUACCCCGCCUGGGGAGUACGGCCGCAAGGCUAAAACUCAAAGAAAUUGACGGGGGCCCGCACAAGCGGCGGAGCAUGUGGAUUAAUUCGAUGCAACGCGAAGAACCUUACCUGGGUUUGACAUGCACAGGACGCCGGCAGAGAUGUCGGUUCCCUUGUGGCCUGUGUGCAGGUGGUGCAUGGCUGUCGUCAGCUCGUGUCGUGAGAUGUUGGGUUAAGUCCCGCAACGAGCGCAACCCUUGUCUCAUGUUGCCAGCGGGUAAUGCCGGGGACUCGUGAGAGACUGCCGGGGUCAACUCGGAGGAAGGUGGGGAUGACGUCAAGUCAUCAUGCCCCUUAUGUCCAGGGCUUCACACAUGCUACAAUGGCCGGUACAAAGGGCUGCGAUGCCGCGAGGUUAAGCGAAUCCUUUUAAAGCCGGUCUCAGUUCGGAUCGGGGUCUGCAACUCGACCCCGUGAAGUCGGAGUCGCUAGUAAUCGCAGAUCAGCAACGCUGCGGUGAAUACGUUCCCGGGCCUUGU